This is a small nucleolar RNA of Nannospalax galili (Upper Galilee mountains blind mole rat), 132 nucleotides long. NCBI's taxonomy places the organism in Eukaryota, Metazoa, Chordata, Mammalia, Rodentia, Spalacidae. The record is from Ensembl.
UUGGCCCUGAAUCAAGGCCAACAGUUUGUUGAAGCUGUUGGUUUCAAGAAGGUGCCUAAAGAAAUGUCUUUCUAUGGUCUGUUGGCCAUUUCAGAAAUUUGGAAAUGUGAGCCAGGCAUGAUGGCACAUGCC